RNAcentral lists this ribosomal RNA (468 nucleotides) under uncultured bacterium. Its description in RNAcentral is "partial 16S ribosomal RNA". It matches the Rfam family "Bacterial small subunit ribosomal RNA", at positions 28 to 507 of the family's 1533-position model. The record is from RNAcentral.
GACGAACGCUCGCGGCGUGCUUAACACAUGCCAGUCGAACGGAAAGGCCCUGCUUUUGUGGGGUGCUCGAGUGGCGAACGGGUGAGUAACACGUGAGUAACCUGCCCUUGACUUUGGGAUAACUUCAGGAAACUGGGGCUAAUACCGGAUAGGAGCUCCUGCUGCAUGGUGGGGGUUGGAAAGUUUCGGCGGUUGGGGAUGGACUCGCGGCUUAUCAGCUUGUUGGUGGGGUAGUGGCUUACCAAGGCUUUGACGGGUAGCCGGCCUGAGAGGGUGACCGGCCACAUUGGGACUGAGAUACGGCCCAGACUCCUACGGGAGGCAGCAGUGGGGAAUAUUGCACAAUGGGCGGAAGCCUGAUGCAGCAACGCCGCGUGCGGGAUGACGGCCUUCGGGUUGUAAACCGCUUUCGCCUGUGACGAAGCGUGAGUGACGGUAAUGGGUAAAGAAGCACCGGCUAACUACGUG